This 468-nucleotide ribosomal RNA is filed under the name uncultured bacterium. RNAcentral describes it as "partial 16S ribosomal RNA". It matches the Rfam family "Bacterial small subunit ribosomal RNA", at positions 28 to 507 of the family's 1533-position model. The record is from RNAcentral.
GACGAACGCUGGCGGCGUGCUUAGCACAUGCAAGUCGAACGGAAAGGCCCUGCUUUUGUGGGGUGCUCGAGUGGCGAACGGGUGAGUAACACGUGAGUAACCUGCCCUUGACUUUGGGAUAACUUCAGGAAACUGGGGCUAAUACCGGAUAGGAGCCCCUGCUGCAUGGUGGGGGUUGGAAAGUUUCGGCGGUUGGGGAUGGACUCGCGGCUUAUCAGCUUGUUGGUGGGGUAGUGGCUUACCAAGGCUUUGACGGGUAGCCGGCCUGAGAGGGUGACCGGCCACAUUGGGACUGAGAUACGGCCCAGACUCCUACGAGAGGCAGCAGUGGGGAAUAUUGCACAAUGGGCGGAAGCCUGAUGCAGCAACGCCGCGUGCGGGAUGACGGCCUUCGGGUUGUAAACCGCUUUCGCCUGUGACGAAGCGUGAGUGACGGUAAUGGGUAAAGAAGCACCGGCUAACUACGUG